Molecule: long non-coding RNA, 1264 nt
Filed under: Homo sapiens (human)
Lineage: Eukaryota; Metazoa; Chordata; Mammalia; Primates; Hominidae
Description: HSALNT0377832
Source: RNAcentral
CGGCCCGGCCUCCCGGUGCCGCCGCGCGUCCCGGGCGCGUCCGCCGCGCGCUCUCCCUGGGGAGAAAGAGAAACCGUGUAGACGGCCGGCGCGCGCUCACUCGCCGCCUCCUCUGCGGAGAGCGGCGAGGCCGGCCCGAGGCGGGCGCCGAGCGCGGAGCGGAGGGGGGCCCGAGGGAGGCGGGGGUGGAAUCAGCCCAAUUCCCGAGGCUGGCUCCGAGGGGGACCCGGAAUACAGGCUGGCGGGGGGCCGGCGGGGGCCGAGCUCCCGGAGGAGGGGAAGGCGGAGGUGGCCCCGUCCUUGGGCAUCAACUAUUGUCUAGGCGCCCGGGCCCCCGCUCGCGCCGUCCCCGAGGCUCAGCGCCCCCAUCCCGCCCGCCAGCAGAAAGAACUGAGGGGGCGGCCAGUACGGGAAGCAAGUGCGGGGGUCCGGGCUCCGAAGGUCCAAGUCUCGGGUGAGAUCACCACGGAGCGGCUUAGCGCGGCGCACAAGUCUCGCGAGAGAAGCGGCGGCUGGGCCCUGCAGGCGGAGGAAGUGGAAAAAGUCGCGGGAGGGUAGGGGACCGCGGAACUUCUGGUUGCUAUGACGACGGCAAAGCCCUGGAUUCCUGUCUCCUGCGGAGAGCAGAGGCUGCAAACGGCAUUCAAGCAGCCCUGAGGAGAGGUCCACAUGGUGAGCCACUGAGGGCCUUGCCAAGAGCCAGCACCAACGGUCCAGGUUUGGAGUGUACCACCUUGGAAGUGAAUCUUCCAGUCCAGUCAAGCCUUCAGAUGACUUCAGAACCGUCCAUGUAAGCCACUCUUGGAUUCCUGACCCACAGAAACUGUUGGAGGCAUUAUCAACAGUUUCUAACAUCACAGACAGACAAACAUGUGCCUCCUGAUUGAAAAAACAGAACAUCACCUGUAGUCUUGCCAGUGAGAUCAAACUGAAGUCCAAUUAACCUCUGGAUCCAGCUGCCAAUUUGCAGGAAAUAGAGGAGAGAAGCAUCUGUUGAACUGCACCAUGAGUAUACACUCAGCAAAGGCCAAACUGUGGAAAAUGAUACAGGUCAAACAGCCUGGAUUCUUUAACAGUAAGUGAUGUUUCUGAAGCACCAAUGAAAAUGAAGUCCUGAAGUCCUGUGCUCAAUAUGAAAUGUUGGAAGUUAGAAGAAAAAAACAAAACUUGGAUCCAAUCUCAAGGCACUUUUUGUUUAAUGGGAAGAAGUGGAUUAUUUUAAAAGCUACAAAUAAAGUUACAUAAAAGUAGCAAAGUUGAUAUA